GAAGAGGGGAAGUUGGAAACGAGACAUCCUGUCUGAUGCAACCCUCCUGUCACCUGGUAUGGUUGCCCUUGACACUCAACCAUCUAUAAUUAGAGAAACUACUAGGGUCAGAAUGGGACCUCAGAAAGAGCUGCACCAUAAUGGACCGGAUGAUAGUGGCACUUGGACAGAGAGCACAGGAAGAAGGGCCUGGGACGUGGAGCCUGUAAGAUCAGCAUAGUUUGUGUGAGACACCAAGACUGCAGCAAAGGAGCGCUCGCAGUUAGGGGCCCUCGCCCCCAGAUGGAACCGUUCUCCGGGACUUCCUGAUAGAACAUGCAGGGGCUAGCAACAAAAACCAACAACCACCCUACCGUCCCCCAGCUGAGAAGUAAGAGGAACAGUGGGAUUUCAUGAAAUGGCGACCUGCUGUCUUUACCCUCCGCCUUUCCUCUCCUCUGUCUUUUUUUUUUUUUUUUCCCUCCACAAUGUUCUUCUAAGACAACAAGGAAAAUU
This is a long non-coding RNA of Chinchilla lanigera (long-tailed chinchilla), 495 nucleotides long. RefSeq lists it as uncharacterized. The transcript has 3 exons. NCBI's taxonomy places the organism in Eukaryota, Metazoa, Chordata, Mammalia, Rodentia, Chinchillidae. The record is from RefSeq and is a predicted model, not a curated record.